This 120-nucleotide microRNA precursor is filed under the name Gossypium hirsutum (cotton). RNAcentral describes it as "MIR7504 microRNA precursor family". It matches the Rfam family "MIR7504 microRNA precursor family". Lineage: Eukaryota; Viridiplantae; Streptophyta; Magnoliopsida; Malvales; Malvaceae. The record is from Rfam by way of RNAcentral.
UGGGAGAAUGACAAAUUAGAUUUUUUCUCUUGAUUUUCAGCUUUUUUUCUUGAAAAAAUUCAAAUCCAACUAAAAAUGCUAAAAAUUGGGAGGAAAAAUCUCAUUUGUCAUAUAAUCCCU